This 498-nucleotide ribosomal RNA is filed under the name uncultured bacterium. Its description in RNAcentral is "partial 16S ribosomal RNA". It matches the Rfam family "Bacterial small subunit ribosomal RNA", at positions 28 to 507 of the family's 1533-position model. The record is from RNAcentral.
GACGAACGCUGGCGGCGUGCCUAAUACAUGCAAGUCGAACGAGAGCAACCGGUGCUUGCACUGGUCAAUCUAGUGGCGAACGGGUGGGUAACACGUGGGUAACCUGCCCAUCAGAGGGGGAUAACAUCCGGAAACGGAUGCUAAAACCGCAUAGGUCUUCGAACCGCAUGGUUUGAAGAGGAAAAGAGGCGCAAGCUUCUGCUGAUGGAUGGACCCGCGGUGCAUUAGCUAGUUGGUGAGGUAACGGCUCACCAAGGCCGUGGUGCAUAGCCGACCUGAGAGGGUGAUUCGCCACAAUGGGACUGAGACACGGCCCAAACUCCUACGGGAGGCAGCAGUAGGGAAUCUUCCGCAAUGGACGCAAGUCUGACGGAGCAACGCCGCGUGAGUGAAGAAGGUUUUCGGAUCGUAAAACUCUGUUGUUAGAGAAGAACAAGUGCUAGAGUAACUGUUAGCGCCUUGACGGUAUCUAACCAGAAAGCCACGGCUAACUACGUG